UGGGGAAUUUUGGACAAUGGGCGCAAGCCUGAUCCAGCAAUGCCGCGUGCAGGAUGAAGGCCUUCGGGUUGUAAACUGCUUUUGUACGGAGCGAAAAGGUCUGCCCUAAUACGGUGGGCUCAUGACGGUACCGUAAGAAUAAGCACCGGCUAACUACGUGCCAGCAGCCGCGGUAAUACGUAGGGUGCGAGCGUUAAUCGGAAUUACUGGGCGUAAAGCGUGCGCAGGCGGUUAUAUAAGACAGGUGUGAAAUCCCCGGGCUCAACCUGGGGCCUGCAUUUGUGACUGUAGAGCUAGAGUACGGUAGAGGGGGAUGGAAUUCCGCGUGUAGCAGUGAAAUGCGUAGAUAUGCGGAGGAACACCGAUGGCGAAGGCAAUCCCCUGGACCUGUACUGACGCUCAUGCACGAAAGCGUGGGGAGCAAACA
Molecule: ribosomal RNA, 427 nt
Filed under: uncultured bacterium
Lineage: Bacteria
Description: bacterial SSU rRNA
Rfam family: Bacterial small subunit ribosomal RNA
Source: RNAcentral